GACGAACGCUGGCGGCGUGGAUUAGGCAUGCAAGUCGAACGGUAGGAUACCUUCGGGUAUCUGAGAGUGGCGAACGGGUGAGUAACACGUAGGUGAUCUACCCUCAAGAUUGGGACAACCCAGGGAAACUUGGGCUAAUACCGGAUGAAAGCAGCAGUGAUGUUGUUUGAAAGGUGGCGUAAGCUGCCGUUUGGGGAUGAGCCUGCGCUCUAUUAGUUAGUUGGCGGGGUAAAGGCCCACCAAGGCGAUGAUAGAUAGGCGGCCUUAACGGGUGGUCGCCCACACUGGGAUUGAGAUACGGCCCAGACUCCUACGGGAGGCAGCAGUCGAGAAUAGUCUACAAUGGCCGAAAGGCUGAUAGUGCGACGCCGCGUGAACGAAGAAGCCCUUCGGGUGUAAAGUUCUUUUAUAUGUGAGCAGUGCUUUCUAUGUGAACAGCAUGGGGAGAGAGAUAUUAGCAUAUGAAUAAGCAACGGCUAACUCCGUGCCAGCC
Molecule: ribosomal RNA, 493 nt
Filed under: uncultured bacterium
Lineage: Bacteria
Description: bacterial SSU rRNA
Rfam family: Bacterial small subunit ribosomal RNA
Source: RNAcentral